GUGCUUGCUUUGGCAGCAUAUAUACUAAAAUUGGAACAAUACAGAGAAGAUUAGCAUAGCCCCUGCACAAGGGUGACAUGAAAUUCAUGAAGUGUUCCAUAUUAAA
Otolemur garnettii (small-eared galago) is the source of this 106-nucleotide small nuclear RNA. Lineage: Eukaryota; Metazoa; Chordata; Mammalia; Primates; Galagidae. The record is from Ensembl.